GAAAAAAAUUUGAAUUUGACCCAAAAGAAGAAACAAACAGAUUUAGAAACAAAAAAAAAUGAAAACAACUAAAAGAAGAAAUUUAAGAAUAAAAGAAAGAUUUAAAACAUAGAUAAAUAAAGAAAACAAAAAUUAAAAAGUGAAAGUUGAAUUAAAUAAACGGAUGAAUAAGGAUAGAAGAUGGUUGUUUAACUGAACCCUUUGAGAUAUAAAC
This 214-nucleotide long non-coding RNA is filed under the name Gossypium raimondii (Peruvian cotton). RNAcentral's name for it is "long non-coding RNA (GRAI_LNC001896)". Lineage: Eukaryota; Viridiplantae; Streptophyta; Magnoliopsida; Malvales; Malvaceae. The record is from RNAcentral.